Long non-coding RNA from Lates calcarifer (barramundi perch), 699 nucleotides. RefSeq lists it as uncharacterized. NCBI's taxonomy places the organism in Eukaryota, Metazoa, Chordata, Actinopteri, Centropomidae. The transcript has 5 exons. The record is from RefSeq and is a predicted model, not a curated record.
UAAACAGGAAGUAGUAUGUUGCUAGCUUGAGACCCUUGUUUUCGGACUUCAUUUAUUGGGCAAAUUUUCACCAUUGCAAUUGCGCGGAAUUAGCUCCAAGCGGCUCCUGUUUCGGUUUACCUGUGGAUGUACAAACAACUAUCAGUGAAUUACUGUGACACUGAAAACUUUAAAACCUGGCGACUCUCAGGCGAGUUCUGGAGUUGGUCGGAGCGUCUUUUUUUCUAAGACUUCCAAGCGGAUUUACGGACGUUUGUUCGCGAUGCACGUCGAAGAUAACGAUAUUCCCGGGAAGUAGGCGAGAGUUGCUGCAGCAACAACAAUAAACCGGACCGUGGAGGAGAGGAUGAAGAUGGAGGGCAACAAGUCAGACGCUCGUCCUGUCGACACGGCUGCAGCUGAUGGACGCUGGAGACGAGGACAGAGACACUGAAACCUGCGUCCAGAACCGGAGUUUCAGGUGAACUGGACCUGAGCUCGUCUCUGUCAGACAUCCUACGUUUCCCACAAUGCCUUUCAACGAGCUUUGGAUGACCCUUGAACUUGCUGCUGACAGGAAAUGCGGACUCAUUCCUGCACCACUCUUCACCAGAAACAAAGAUGGCUGCGCUCAUAUCCAGGAUGUUUUGGCUUCAUUUUCGCAAGAAAAUAAAGACGCGUCGGCCAUCUUUAUUUACAGUCACUGUUCAUGAUGGUCUC